ACGCGUAAGGAACUUGCCUCUUGGUCUGGGACAACUGUUGGAAACGACAGCUAAUACCGGAUAUUAUGAGAUUCUCGCAUGGGAAACUUAUGAAAGCUAUAUGCGCCAAGAGAGAGCCUUGCGUUCCAUUAGCUAGUUGGUGGGGUAACGGCCCACCAAGGCGACGAUGGAUAGCCGGCCUGAGAGGGUGAACGGCCACAAGGGGACUGAGACACGGCCCUUACUCCUACGGGAGGCAGCAGUGGGGAAUAUUGGACAAUGGGCCACAAGCCUGAUCCAGCAAUUCUGUGUGCACGAUGAAGGUCUUCGGAUUGUAAAGUGCUUUCAGUUGGGAAGAAGAAAGUGACGGUACCAACAGAAGAAGCGACGGCUAAAUACGUGCCAGCAGCCGCGGUAAUACGUAUGUCGCAAGCGUUAUCCGGAUUUAUUGGGCGUAAAGCGCGUCUAGGCGGAAAAAUAAGUCUGAUGUUAAAAUGCGGGGCUCAACUCCGUAUUGCGUUGGAAACUGUUUUUCUAGAGUACUGGAGAGGUGGGCGGAACUACAAGUGUAGAGGUGAAAUUCGUAGAUAUUUGUAGGAAUGCCGAUGGAGAAGUCAGCUCACUGGACAGAUACUGACGCUAAAGCGCGAAAGCGUGGGGAGCAAACAGAUUAGAUACCCUGGUAGUCCACGCCGUAAACGAUGAUCACUAUGUGUUGGGGGGUCGAACCUCAGCGCCCAAGCUAACGCGAUAAGUGAUCCGCCCUGGGGAGUACGCACGCAGUGUGAAACUCAAGGAAUUUGACGGGGACCCGCCACAAGCGGUGGAGCAUGUGGUU
This 817-nucleotide ribosomal RNA is filed under the name uncultured bacterium. RNAcentral's name for it is "bacterial SSU rRNA". It matches the Rfam family "Bacterial small subunit ribosomal RNA", at positions 113 to 946 of the family's 1533-position model. The record is from RNAcentral.